UGGGGAGGGUGGGGGUAAGACCACUUAAGCAGAUUUACAGCCUGCCGCCUAAAUCGGCCACCUGACC
This 67-nucleotide transfer RNA is filed under the name Brookesia thieli (Domergue's leaf chameleon). RNAcentral's name for it is "tRNA-Tyr". The record is from RNAcentral. Lineage: Eukaryota; Metazoa; Chordata; Lepidosauria; Squamata; Chamaeleonidae.